This 848-nucleotide long non-coding RNA is filed under the name Homo sapiens (human). RNAcentral describes it as "HSALNT0337734". Lineage: Eukaryota; Metazoa; Chordata; Mammalia; Primates; Hominidae. The record is from RNAcentral.
UCUACAUCACAGAGGGAAAUAAGCAGAGGUCCAGAAACAGGGCUACCCACCAAUCGCGUGGUGACAGAGGAGAGAGGGUCCUAAGGACAGAUGAGGAUGUUCUUGAUUUUGUACUCCAAGUAAAUGUAUUUAAGAAUGGUUACCCCAACCUCUGAGAAAUCUGAAAGUGGCAGCUGGAAAUGCCAGGAGAACACAUGGCAACACUGAAUUGACAGAGUUCAAACACCAAAGGGGCAUUUGAGAACUGGAGCUGCCCGAUGGCAAGAGGGCACUUGUAUCAGAAGCUUCACUGCACAGGCCUACAAUAAAUGGUGCCUUGACAUCAAAUGAGUUGGUUGGCUAGUUCCUUCCCCAUGAAAUUGUUAUUUUAAACCCCAAACUACCUGGCAUAAUUUCCAGUCUGCUGACUGAAAAUCAGAAUGGAGCAUAACUAUUUUCCUUGCAGAAAAAGGCUGCCCAGGGAUGUACUGGAGAUGAUCAGGAGAGACAUGCUUUUCUCCUUCAAACCUUUUGCCUGCUUUGUAUUUCCAGUUUUCACAGCCCACCUUUUUCAGAGACCACACACAGAGACUACACUGAUUGGAAUCAAGUUUAAAGGCAUGGCUUACAUUCAGGCCAUCUCUGACAGAGCAAGAGUCAAAAAAUAUGUAUUUGAAAUCUGCUGAUUGUCAUUUGGUUGCAGUGCUUUAUUUGGAAAAACUACUUCCAGGAACUGUGUUGGGAUGCCAAAGCUGACUAGACUGCACCUUUGCCUUUAACAUUACAGAUUUUAAAAAAAGUUAAAAAAACAAAAAACCCUCAUUUUUUUCAAGCAAUAUCCCAUAUACUUACAGUCCAACUGAUAUUUA